This 481-nucleotide ribosomal RNA is filed under the name uncultured bacterium. RNAcentral describes it as "partial 16S ribosomal RNA". It matches the Rfam family "Bacterial small subunit ribosomal RNA", at positions 30 to 507 of the family's 1533-position model. The record is from RNAcentral.
AUUGAACGCUGGCGGCAUGCCUUACACAUGCAAGUCGAACGGUAACAGGUCUUCGGAUGCUGACGAGUGGCGAACGGGUGAGUAAUACAUCGGAACGUGCCCGAUCGUGGGGGAUAACGAGGCGAAAGCUUGCUAAAACCGCAUACGAACCACGGAUGAAAGCGGGGGAUCUUCGGGACUCGGGCGCACGGGGCGGGCGAUGGCAGAUUAGGUAGUUGGUGGGAUAAAAGCUUACCAAGCCGACGAUCUGUAGCUGGUCUGAGAGGAUGAUCAGCCACACUGGGACUGAGACACGGCCCAGACUCCUACGGGAGGCAGCAGUGGGGAAUUUUGGACAAUGGGCGAAAGCCUGAUCCAGCCAUGCCGCGUGCAGGAUGAAGGCCUUCGGGUUGUAAACUGCUUUUGUACGGAACGAAAAGCCUCUUUCUAAUAAAGAGGGGUCAUGACGGUACCGUAAGAAUAAGCACCGGCUAACUACGUG